UACAGAGGUCUCAAGCGUUGUUCGGAUUCAUUGGGCGUAAAGAGCGUGUAGGCGGCCUGACAGGUCUGCUGUGAAAACUCGAGGCUCAACCUCGAGAUGUCGGCGGAAACCGUCUGGCUAGAGUCCGGAAGAGGAGAGUGGAAUUCCUGGUGUAGCGGUGAAAUGCGCAGAUAUCAGGAAGAACACCUAUGGCGAAGGCAGCUCUCUGGGACGGUACUGACGCUGAGACGCGAAAGCGUGGGGAGCGAACAGG
This 253-nucleotide ribosomal RNA is filed under the name uncultured bacterium. RNAcentral's name for it is "partial 16S ribosomal RNA". It matches the Rfam family "Bacterial small subunit ribosomal RNA", at positions 524 to 776 of the family's 1533-position model. The record is from RNAcentral.